Molecule: ribosomal RNA, 468 nt
Filed under: uncultured bacterium
Lineage: Bacteria
Description: partial 16S ribosomal RNA
Rfam family: Bacterial small subunit ribosomal RNA
Source: RNAcentral
GACGAACGCUGGCGGCGUGCUUAACACAUGCCAGUCGAACGGAAAGGCCCUGCUUUUGUGGGGUGCUCGAGUGGCGAACGGGUGAGUAACACGUGAGUAACCUGCCCUUGACUUUGGGAUAACUUCAGGAAACUGGGGCUAAUACCGGAUAGGAGCUCCUGCUGCAUGGUGGGGGUUGGAAAGUUUCGGCGGUUGGGGAUGGACUCGCGGCUUAUCAGCUUGUUGGUGGGGUAGUGGCUUACCAAGGCUUUGACGGGUAGCCGGCCUGAGAGGGUGACCGGCCACAUUGGGACUGAGAUACGGCCCAGACUCCUACGGGAGGCAGCAGUGGGGAAUAUUGCACAAUGGGCGGAAGCCUGAAGCAGCAACGCCGCGUGCGGGAUGACGGCCUUCGGGUUGUAAACCGCUUUCGCCUGUGACGAAGCGUGAGUGACGGUAAUGGGUAAAGAAGCACCGGCUAACUACGUG